This 291-nucleotide long non-coding RNA is filed under the name Elaeis guineensis (African oil palm). RNAcentral's name for it is "long non-coding RNA (EGUI_LNC038861)". Lineage: Eukaryota; Viridiplantae; Streptophyta; Magnoliopsida; Arecales; Arecaceae. The record is from RNAcentral.
GAAUCUAUCGAUCUUAAAAGAGGAGUAAUCCUAUGAAAUUUGAGAAGCUGGGUCCUUAAGUCUGUAGCCACAGCAGUAUAAUUGAUGGAAAAAAAAAUUUAUGAGAAUCACUUUUGGACUGGAGUUGAUUAAAUCUAUCAUAUAACUGAUGUCGAGGUUUGAUGAUUUAUCUAUGAUCUGCCAUCUAGUUAGGACUCACGAUAGAGAGACUGAAUCAUAUAAAAACUAUACCUUGAGGUUCUUUAUUCAGUUCUAUUAGGUUGUCACUACAUACUGGUAGAUGUCACUGGU